This is a non-coding RNA of Lolium perenne, 194 nucleotides long. Lineage: Eukaryota; Viridiplantae; Streptophyta; Magnoliopsida; Poales; Poaceae. The record is from RefSeq and is a predicted model, not a curated record.
GGUACAAUGUUGUUUUGAGCAACUGUUCCGUGGGCGAGUUCUGUACUAUCCAUAAUGGCGCUUGCAUCGGUCAAGAUGGUUUUGGUUUCUUUGUGGAUGAGGAUGGGCAGGUCAAGAAGAAGCCACAGGUACUUUAUUCAAGGAUCGGUGACAAUGUGGAGAUAGGUGCAAAUACAUGCAUUGACAGAGGAAGG